UAGGGAAUAUUAGAAAUGGACGAAAGUCUGAUCUAGCAACACCGCGUGUGCGAAGAAGGCCUUCGGGUUGUAAAGCGCUUUUUGGAAGGAUUAGGAAGGACUGUACUUCCAGAAUAAGUCUCGGCUAACUACGUGCCAGCAGCCGCGGUAACACGUAGGAGGCAAACGUUAUCCGGAUUUACUGGGCGUAAAGCGCGUGUAGGUGGUUCUGUAAGUAGGGCGUGAAAGCUCCUGGCUCAACUGGGAGAGGGCGUU
Molecule: ribosomal RNA, 255 nt
Filed under: uncultured prokaryote
Description: partial 16S ribosomal RNA
Rfam family: Bacterial small subunit ribosomal RNA
Source: RNAcentral